RNAcentral lists this non-coding RNA (26 nucleotides) under Mus musculus (house mouse). Lineage: Eukaryota; Metazoa; Chordata; Mammalia; Rodentia; Muridae. The record is from RNAcentral.
UGAGAGCCAUGUCAGGCUGGCAGAAG